GCGGCCGAUGUCUGAUUAGCUAGUUGGUGAGGUAAAGGCUUACCAAGGCGACGAUCAGUAGCUGGUCUGAGAGGACGACCAGCCACACUGGGACUGAGACACGGCCCAGACUCCUACGGGAGGCAGCAGUGGGGAAUUUUGGACAAUGGGGGAAACCCUGAUCCAGCCAUGCCGCGUGAGUGAAGAAGGCCUUCGGGUUGUAAAGCUCUUUCAGCCGGAACGAAACUGUCACGGUUAAUACCCGUGACUACUGACGGUACCGKAAGAAGAAG
Molecule: ribosomal RNA, 272 nt
Filed under: uncultured beta proteobacterium
Lineage: Bacteria; Pseudomonadati; Pseudomonadota; Betaproteobacteria
Description: partial 16S ribosomal RNA
Rfam family: Bacterial small subunit ribosomal RNA
Source: RNAcentral